This 384-nucleotide unclassified non-coding RNA is filed under the name Hevea brasiliensis (rubber tree). Lineage: Eukaryota; Viridiplantae; Streptophyta; Magnoliopsida; Malpighiales; Euphorbiaceae. The record is from RNAcentral.
AGAUGCUGCAAGUAGCCAGGCUGCAAGUGGUGGUAUACAGGAACAGGUUCUUAUCAGAAAGAUAAUUGAGCUGCAUGACAAGUAUAUGGCAUAUGUGAACGAUUUUUUUCAAAAUCAUACCCUCUUUCACAAGGCCAUGAAAGAAGCUUUUGAGAUAUUCUGUAAUAAAACAGUCGCUGGUAGCUCAAGUGCAGAACUACUGGCAACAUUCUGUGAUAAUAUACUCAAGAAGGGUGGAAGUGAGAAACUAAGCGAUGAAGACAUAGAAGAAAUGCUGGAGAAGGUAGUAAAAUUGCUGGCAUAUAUCAGUGAUAAGGACCUUUUUGCCGAAUUCUACAGAAAGAAGCUUGCUCGACGUCUUCUUUUUGACCGGAGUGCUAAUGA